RNAcentral lists this ribosomal RNA (468 nucleotides) under uncultured bacterium. RNAcentral describes it as "partial 16S ribosomal RNA". It matches the Rfam family "Bacterial small subunit ribosomal RNA", at positions 28 to 507 of the family's 1533-position model. The record is from RNAcentral.
GACGAACGCUGGCGGCGUGCUUAACACAUGCAAGUCGAACGGAAAGGCCCUGCUUUUGUGGGGUGCUCGAGUGGCGAACGGGUGAGUAACACGUGAGUAACCUGCCCUUGACUUUGGGAUAACUUCAGGAAACUGGGGCUAAUACCGGAUAGGAGCUCCUGCUGCAUGGGGGGGGUUGGAAAGUUUCGGCGGUUGGGGAUGGACUCGCGGCUUAUCAGCUUGUUGGUGGGGUAGUGGCUUACCAAGGCUUUGACGGGUAGCCGGCCUGAGAGGGUGACCGGCCACAUUGGGCCUGAGGUACGGACCAGAAUCCUACGGGAGGCAGCAGUGGGGAAUAUUGCACAAUGAGCGGAAGCCUGAUGCAGCAACCCCGCGUGCGGGAUGACGGCCUUCGGGUUGUAAACCGCUUUCGCCUGUGACGAAGCGUGAGUGACGGUAAUGGGUAAAGAAGCACCGGCUAACUACGUG